RNAcentral lists this ribosomal RNA (216 nucleotides) under Glomeromycotina sp. RNAcentral describes it as "partial small subunit ribosomal RNA". The stretch from base 44 to 216 matches the Rfam family "Eukaryotic small subunit ribosomal RNA", at positions 690 to 864 of the family's 1831-position model. Lineage: Eukaryota; Fungi; Glomeromycota. The record is from RNAcentral.
GGGUCAGUAGGUUGGUCGUGCCACCGGUACGUACUGGUCUCACUGAUUCCUCCUUCCUGAAGAACCGUAAUGCCAUUAAUUUGGUGUUGCGGGGAAACAGGACUGUUACUUUGAAAAAAUUAGAGUGUUUAAAGCAAGCUAACGCUUGAAUACAUUAGCAUGGAAUAAUGAAAUAGGACGAUCGAUCCUAUUUUGCUGGUUUCUAGGACUGACGUA